Molecule: ribosomal RNA, 480 nt
Filed under: uncultured Acidobacteriota bacterium
Lineage: Bacteria; Pseudomonadati; Acidobacteriota
Description: bacterial SSU rRNA
Rfam family: Bacterial small subunit ribosomal RNA
Source: RNAcentral
UUGAUCCUGGCUCAGAAUCAACGCUGGCGGCGUGCCUAACACAUGCAAGUCGAACGAGAAAGUGGAGCAAUCCAUGAGUAAAGUGGCGACCGGGUGAGUUACACGUGACUAACCUACCUUCGAGUGGGGGAUAACCUCGGGAAACCGGGUCUAAUACCGCAUAAUGCCUUCGGGUUAAAGGAGCAAUUCGCUUGAAGAGUGGGUCGCGGCUGAUUAGCUAGUUGGCGGGGUAACGGCCCACCAAGGCGAUGAUCGGUAGCCGGCCUGAGAGGGCGCACGGCCACACUGGAACUGAAACAUGGUCCAGACUCCUACGGGAGGCAGCAGUGGGGAAUUUUGCGCAAUGGGGUAAACCCUGACGCAGCAACGCCGCGUGGAGGAUGAAGUCCCUUGGGACGUUAACUCCUUUCGACCGGGACGAUGAUGACGGUACCGGUGGAAGAAGCCCCUGCUAACUUCGUGCCAGCAGCCGCGGUAAUU